CCUGGCUCAGGAUGAACGCUAGCGGCAGGCCUAAUACAUGCAAGUCGGACGGGAUCCAUCGGAGAGCUUGCUCGAAGAUGGUGAGAGUGGCGCACGGGUGCGUAACGCGUGAGCAACCUACCUCUAUCAGGGGGAUAGCCUCUCGAAAGAGAGAUUAACACCGCAUAACAUCAACAGUUCGCAUGUUCAGUUGAUUAAAUAUUUAUAGGAUAGAGAUGGGCUCGCGUGACAUUAGCUAGUUGGUAGGGUAACGGCUUACCAAGGCGACGAUGUCUAGGGGCUCUGAGAGGAGAAUCCCCCACACUGGUACUGAGACACGGACCAGACUCCUACGGGAGGCAGCAGUAAGGAAUAUUGGUCAAUGGGCGGAAGCCUGAACCAGCCAUGCCGCGUGCAGGAUGACUGCCCUAUGGGUUGUAAACUGCUUUUGUCCAGGAAUAAACCUAGAUACGUGUAUCUAGCUGAAUGUACUGGAAGAAUAAGGAUCGGCUAACUCCGUGCCAGCAGCCGCGGUAAUACGGAGGAUCCGAGCGUUAUCCGGAUUUAUUGGGUUUAAAGGGUGCGUAGGCGGCCUAUUAAGUCAGGGGUGAAAUACGGUGGCUCAACCAUCGCAGUGCCUUUGAUACUGAUGGGCUUGAAUCCAUUUGAAGUGGGCGGAAUAAGACAAGUAGCGGUGAAAUGCAUAGAUAUGUCUUAGAACUCCGAUUGCGAAGGCAGCUCACUAAGCUGGUAUUGACGCUGAUGCACGAAAGCGUGGGGAUCGAACAGGAUUAGAUACCCUGGUAGUCCACGCCCUAAACGAUGAUAACUCGAUGUUGGCGAUAGACAGCCAGCGUCCAAGCGAAAGCGUUAAGUUAUCCACCUGGGGAGUACGCCCGCAAGGGUGAAACUCAAAGGAAUUGACGGGGGCCCGCACAAGCGGAGGAGCAUGUGGUUUAAUUCGAUGAUACGCGAGGAACCUUACCCGGGCUUGAAAGUUAGUGAAGAGUGCAGAGACGCACUCGUCCUUCGGGACACGAAACUAGGUGCUGCAUGGCUGUCGUCAGCUC
This 1049-nucleotide ribosomal RNA is filed under the name Sphingobacterium sp. RNAcentral's name for it is "bacterial SSU rRNA". It matches the Rfam family "Bacterial small subunit ribosomal RNA", at positions 18 to 1061 of the family's 1533-position model. Lineage: Bacteria; Pseudomonadati; Bacteroidota; Sphingobacteriia; Sphingobacteriales; Sphingobacteriaceae. The record is from RNAcentral.